This 163-nucleotide ribosomal RNA is filed under the name Rochefortia bahamensis. RNAcentral's name for it is "5.8S ribosomal RNA". It matches the Rfam family "5.8S ribosomal RNA". Rfam says of the family: 5.8S ribosomal RNA (5.8S rRNA) is a component of the large subunit of the eukaryotic ribosome. It is transcribed by RNA polymerase I as part of the 45S precursor that also contains 18S and 28S rRNA. Functionally, it is thought that 5.8S rRNA may be involved in ribosome translocation. Lineage: Eukaryota; Viridiplantae; Streptophyta; Magnoliopsida; Boraginales; Ehretiaceae. The record is from RNAcentral.
AAACGACUCUCGGCAACGGAUAUCUCGGCUCUCGCAUCGAUGAAGAACGUAGCGAAAUGCGAUACUUGGUGUGAAUUGCAGAAUCCCGUGAACCAUCGAGUCUUUGAACGCAAGUUGCGCCCGAAGCUUCGGGCGAGGGCACGUCUGCCUGGGSGUCACGCAU